UGUUAAAAAUUUCAUCCAUAGUUACUAUUAAAAUUGGCAUGGUUGACAAAAUAACUAGAUAGUUACUUGUAACAUGUCACAUGUGCCUCACGUUGAUGUACAGGGUCCAGUUUUUAACAGUAAAAAUAGAUUGUUAAAA
This is a non-coding RNA of Gossypium raimondii (Peruvian cotton), 139 nucleotides long. Lineage: Eukaryota; Viridiplantae; Streptophyta; Magnoliopsida; Malvales; Malvaceae. The record is from Rfam.